This 408-nucleotide ribosomal RNA is filed under the name uncultured soil bacterium. Its description in RNAcentral is "bacterial SSU rRNA". It matches the Rfam family "Bacterial small subunit ribosomal RNA", at positions 26 to 462 of the family's 1533-position model. The record is from RNAcentral.
AGAACGAACGCUGGCGGCAUGCCUAAUACAUGCAAGUCGAACGAACUCUUCGGAGUUAGUGGCGCACGGGUGCGUAACGCGUGGGAAUCUGCCCCUUGGUUCGGAAUAACAGUUGGAAACGACUGCUAAUACCGGAUGAUGACGAAAGUCCAAAGAUUUAUCGCCAAGGGAUGAGCCCGCGUAGGAUUAGCUAGUUGGUGAGGUAAAGGCUCACCAAGGCAACGAUCCUUAGCUGGUCUGAGAGGAUGAUCAGCCACACUGGGACUGAGACACGGCCCAGACUCCUACGGGAGCAGCAGUAGGGAAUAUUGGACAAUGGGCGAAAGCCUGAUCCAGCAAUGCCGACGUGAGUGAUGAAGGCCUUAGGUUGUAAAGCUACUUUUACCCGAGUACUGAUAAUGAACAGUA